AAUUCUGUAAUUUAAAAAAAAUAUAAAAUUGCAAAUUUUAAAAUGAAAAAUAAUCCAGAGUUU
This 63-nucleotide transfer RNA is filed under the name Dendrothrips minowai. RNAcentral's name for it is "tRNA-Cys". Lineage: Eukaryota; Metazoa; Arthropoda; Insecta; Thysanoptera; Thripidae. The record is from RNAcentral.